AUGGCUGAAUGGAGUGCCUGUUUCGACUGGGAUGUGGCGGCCUCGGCGGCCGAGAACCACUACACGAGCUCCGGGCAUGGCGGUAUUGGACAACACUUCGUCCAUAAUGAUGGUGGUGCUCCAGCCGGGGUGGUCAUCACCCCGGGAGCCAGAUCAAGAGCUUUUGGUGGCAUCAACGAGAUGGAUCCCACCAGCUUCCCUGGCUACGGGAGCAGCGACGCUCCUAUGGCAAUCGCGGCGCCUGCUCGGGGGCCGUUGUGUGCCAGAUCCAGCGGUCAGCGGCUGAGACAGUUCAAAGGGUCAUGGACCGUGGAGGAAGACACGCUGCUGAGGGCGAAGGUGCAUGAGUUCGGCAUAGGGAAUUGGAAGAAUAUCGCGAUGUACCUCCCUGGCCGGAGCGGAAAGCAGUGUCGGGAGAGAUGGACCAACCAACUUGACCCCAACAUUAAGACGAAAAUCUGGACCGAUGCGGAAGACAUGAAGCUGAUUGAGUUGCAUCAGACCUGGGGGAACCAUUGGUCGGUGAUCGCCCGGCUACUCUCUGGCCGGCCGGCGAACACCAUCAAGAACCACUACAAUGCCACCAAGCGCAGUCUGAACUCGAAGCGCCAACUCAAGAAGAGGAACAGCGAGCAGCCACCACCUAGCCAGCUCUCCCGUCUUGCGAAGUACAUCCGUAGCCUGGAGCCACACACCGGAUCACCCACGGAGACACCUCCGGUGUCACCGUUGUAUCAUGACCAAGAGCACGGUGGGCGGAUGGGGAUGGCCGACAGAGACACUGCUGUCAUCAUCACCCCUACCAUGCAGGCGCACCAGACCUACCCCAAUCCGGCCAUGACUGGUAUGUACUACCACCCAAACCCGACCAACAUGCAGUAUUGGGCGCCAGAUUUGAAUCUCGCCGAUGGGCAAAACGAGGGGUACUCAUACUACAUCCCUCCCAACGGGCACCUAAACCACCACCUGUCCUACGGUUUGUCGCCGGCGCAGAUGGUUUGUGAGCAAGACAUCCAACAGGUUCCCGAUGGGAGCAUGAGCAUGUCCGUGUUCACCAGACAACAUACCCUCCCGGCAAGCAACCUGAAGGCGGUGGCAGAGAUGCACCGUCAUUCCUUUGCCAAUAACCAACUUGGCAACAUGGGUGGUGGAGCUGGCAAUUGGUCCUACUACUACGGCAUGGACGUGGCUGGUCCGAGCAACCCUGCUGGAGGUAGUGGUAGCGGUAACGACCCUGAUGACAUCGAUGUGGUGCAGAUGGCCUCGAGGGAGUUUGCCCCGCAGGACCGGGAGGUGGUCACCCUCAAUUGA
RNAcentral lists this ribosomal RNA (1311 nucleotides) under Triticum aestivum (bread wheat). RNAcentral's name for it is "partial small subunit ribosomal RNA". Lineage: Eukaryota; Viridiplantae; Streptophyta; Magnoliopsida; Poales; Poaceae. The record is from RNAcentral.